AGCGAACGCUAGCGGGUGGCUUAACACAUGCAAGUCGAGCGCUGACCUUCGGGUCAGAGCGGCGAACGGGUGAGUAACACGUAGGACACCUACCUCUUGGUGGGGGAUAACUCGGGGAAACCCGAGCUAAUACCGCAUAUGGCCCACGGGUCAAAGGCUUCGGCCGCCAGAAGAUGGUCCUGCGGCCCAUUAUUUAAUCCUAGUUGGUGGGGUAACGGCCUACCAAGGGUACGAUGGGUAGCUGGUCUGAGAGGACGAUCAGCCACACUGGGACUGAGACACGGCCCAGACUCCUACGGGAGGCAGCAGUGGGGAAUAUUGCGCAAUGGGCGAAAGCCUGACGCAGCCAACCCGCGUGAGUGAUGAAGGCCCUAGGGUUGUAAAGCUCUGUCGUGAGGGAAGUAGUUCUGACGGUACCUCACAAGAAAGCACCGGCUAACUCCGUG
This 446-nucleotide ribosomal RNA is filed under the name uncultured bacterium. Its description in RNAcentral is "bacterial SSU rRNA". It matches the Rfam family "Bacterial small subunit ribosomal RNA", at positions 29 to 507 of the family's 1533-position model. The record is from RNAcentral.